AUUGAACGCUGGCGGCAGGCCUAACACAUGCAAGUCGAACGAGUGGCGGACGGGUGAGUAAUGUCUGGGAAACUGCCUGAUGGAGGGGGAUAACUACUGGAAACGGUAGCUAAUACCGCAUACCAUCGGAUGUGCCCAGAUGGGAUUAGCUAGUAGGUGGUGUAAAGGCUCACCUAGGCGACGAUCCCUAGCUGGUCUGUGAGGAUGACAAGAGACCCUGGAACUGAGACACGGUCCAGACUCCUACGGGAGGCAGCAGUGGGGAAUAUUGGAGAAUGGGCACAAGUCUGAUGCAGCCAUGCCGCGUGGAUGAAAAAGGCAUGCGGGUUGUAAAGUACUUUCAGCGGGGAGGCGUUAACCACAGAAGAAGCACCGGCUAACUCCGUGCCAGCCGCCGCGGAAAUAC
Molecule: ribosomal RNA, 406 nt
Filed under: uncultured bacterium
Lineage: Bacteria
Description: partial 16S ribosomal RNA
Rfam family: Bacterial small subunit ribosomal RNA
Source: RNAcentral